UAAUCACUCAUAUUCAGGCAUAAUCAUCCCCAUGGUGAUUCAAGAAAUAUAUAUCCAAUGGUAAUGAUGCAGGGAAAGAGCCAAAAAAUGAAUAUUCAAGGAUACACCAUUGGAAACCCAAUAACAAAUCACUUUAGUGACUUCAAUUCAAGAAUUGCAUACACUCAUCAAGUAGGAAUUCUAUCAUAUGAGCUUUAUGAGGCCAAUAUCUAAAAGCUAAGGUUGAUGGAGGAUUUGGCAGGGACAUGCUGGAGUUUUUGUUGAAAGGACAUGUGGUUGCUUAUAGAACCAUGGUUACAAGAGUUUCUUGAAAUAGCCUGAAGAUUAUUUGAUUGAUAGAGUUGUCGACUUGUGAUGCAGUUGCGUUUGCUGAAAGAUUAUCUAAAUGGCAGUGUCGAUAUGAUUAUGGUUUGCUGAUGUUUAUAUUGACAUUCAGUUUGGUAUCUGUAACGGGCUAUCCUCAACCAUCCUCAUUAGCAGCACCACAGCUGUGUUUGUAUCCAUAGGCAUCUGCCCAAUGUGGGCUGGUGAUGAUCUUCACAAGUUGGUUGCUGGCAAUGUUGAAAGCUUGGGAACUUCUUAGAAGGAUUUUCAGGGGAAUAUUUUAGAGUCUUAGGAGAUGGAGAAUCCAAGGAUAGCAAAACAUUUCUUCAAGGAUACAAAAGUAUUUUGACUUCAAAAAUCAUUGAAGAUUCCUUGACAAAUUUUGUAAGAUAGGAGCCUAGACAUUGUCGUUUCAGGUUUCGUCAUCCUUAGAAACAAUACCAAAAGAUUGGAUCCCUAGCUGGCCAAUGCACCUAUCUCAUUGAUGCUCUUAACAGCUACCCUCACUCUCAUAUCCCGUGCUAAACACAAGGUAGAAUUGGAGCUUUGUGCAAAAAAAAUGCCAAACACUUCCAUGAUCUUAGACUUCUUCAAAGGUUGGGAAAAAUGCAAGCUCUAGAAUGCAUUUCGUGAACAUAUGGGGACAUUGAACAGGUAAAUAUUUACAAGAUGGUCAACACUAUAAUAGAUGCUCAACAAACAUGAUAGACUUGAGAGAGAAUUUGAGUAACCAGCAUAGCAUUCUUGCGAAAACCAUGUUAGGCUUGAUAGUGCUUUUAUCUAAUGCUAUACAUAUAUUGAUUGAAAUAGUACAGACAUAGAGCUACCUUUCUAUCAUUAUUUGGUUCUUAAUUUUGUUAACUGAGUCUAAAAUAUAUUAGAUGUGUUAAAUUUUGUGAUUCA
Molecule: long non-coding RNA, 1227 nt
Organism: Vitis riparia (riverbank grape)
Lineage: Eukaryota; Viridiplantae; Streptophyta; Magnoliopsida; Vitales; Vitaceae
Exons: 7
Source: RefSeq, a predicted model, not a curated record